UCUGGCAGGGAGUAGAUGCCCGUGUGAUACGUGCGCAGAACCCCCUGCCAUCCUUCUGUUAACCCUCCAGAUCUUAACUGCUCUGUUGGGAGCCCAGAAUUUUACCUUGAGAAAAUUAGAGUGUUUCAGGCAGGCUAGCGCCGGAAUACAUUAGCAUGGAAUAAUAGAAUAGGACUUUAUACCUCUUCUGUUGGUCUGAGGGGAUGAAGUAAUGAUUAAUAGGGAUAGUUGGGGGCAUUAGUACUUUACUGUCAGAGGUGAAAUUCUCGGAUUUGUAAAAGACUAACUUAUGCGAAAGUUUGCCAAGGAUGUUUCAUUAAUCAAGAACGAAAGUAGGGGAUCAAAGACGAUAGGUACCGUGCUAGUCUAACCAUAAACUAUGGCGACUCGGGGUCGGGGGCGAGAGUAUCCGCCUUCGGCACCGUAGAGAAAUCAAAGUCUUUGGGUCUGGGGGGGAGAUGGUCGCAGGCGAAACUUAAAGGAAUUGACGGAAGGGCACCACCAGGCGUGGGGUUUGCGGUCAAUUUGACUCAACACGGGGAAAAUUUACAGGUCCAGACAUAGGGAAGGAUUGACAGGAUUGUAGCUCUUUCUUGAUUCUAUGGGGGGGGGGCAUGGGCCGUUCUUAAGUGGUGGAGGGAUUUGGUCUGGGUAAAUUUCCGUUUAACGAACGAAACCUUAGGCCUAACUUAAAUAGGCCGCUCCCAAUCAUGAAUGGGAAGCGACUUCCUUAGAGGGAUUUGGAAAGCAAAUUACAAGGAAGGUUGAGG
This 770-nucleotide ribosomal RNA is filed under the name uncultured eukaryote. Its description in RNAcentral is "bacterial SSU rRNA". It matches the Rfam family "Eukaryotic small subunit ribosomal RNA", at positions 641 to 1450 of the family's 1831-position model. The record is from RNAcentral.